Molecule: ribosomal RNA, 313 nt
Filed under: uncultured Paraglomus
Lineage: Eukaryota; Fungi; Glomeromycota; Glomeromycetes; Paraglomerales; Paraglomeraceae
Description: SSU rRNA
Rfam family: Eukaryotic small subunit ribosomal RNA
Source: RNAcentral
AGCAGCCGCGGUAAUUCCAGCUCCAAUAGCGUAUAUUAAAGUUGUUGCAGUUAAAAAGCUCGUAGUUGAAUUUCAGGCCUGGCUGGGCGGUCCGCCCUUCGGGUGAGUACUGCCUGUGGUCGGGUCCUACCUUCUGGCGAAGCGUCAUGGCCUUAACCGGCCGUGGCGGGGAACCAGGACUUUUACUGUGAAAAAAUUAGAGUGUUCAAAGCAGGCAGUCGCUUGGAUACAUUAGCAUGGAAUAAUGGAAUAGGACAAUGGUUCUAUUUGUUGGUUUCUAGGACCACCGUAAUGAUUAAUAGGGAUAGUUGGG